This is a non-coding RNA of Cinara cedri, 306 nucleotides long. NCBI's taxonomy places the organism in Eukaryota, Metazoa, Arthropoda, Insecta, Hemiptera, Aphididae. The record is from the annotation of a GenBank genome assembly.
CUAUAAUUGGAAGUAAAUAUUUCCAAUAAAAAUUAAUUGACUAAUCGAUACGGUCAGAUGAAUAGCUUUUGAAAAUAUUAAAUUAUUUCUCAACAAAUCGAAUAUACCUAAUCAAUGAAAAAUGCAUAAAACUGAGUUUGCCUUAAAUUUAUUACGCAAUACGAGUAUAUCAACAAUACAGGGUUGUGUAUCCUAUUGGUUGAGUUUCCGGGCUAUAACUAACAGUGGCGUUAAACACCGAGAGAAUCAGAAGAUUACCACACUCCCUCCUCUCAAACACGAAAAUAAUAGAAUAUUUAUGUAUUC